RNAcentral lists this ribosomal RNA (483 nucleotides) under uncultured bacterium. Its description in RNAcentral is "partial 16S ribosomal RNA". It matches the Rfam family "Bacterial small subunit ribosomal RNA", at positions 28 to 507 of the family's 1533-position model. The record is from RNAcentral.
GACGAGCGCUGGCGGCGUGCUUAACACAUGCCAGUCGAACGCUGAAGCUCAGCUUUUGUUGGGUGGAUGAGUGGCGAACGGGUGAGUAACACGUGAGUAACCUGCCUCCUUCUUUGGGAUAACGCCCGGAAACGGGUGCUAAUACUGGAUAUUCACUGGUCUUCGCAUGGGGGUUGGUGGAAAGGGUUUUUCUGGUGGGGGAUGGGCUCGCGGCCUAUCAGCUUGUUGGUGGGGUGAUGGCCUACCAAGGCUUUGACGGGUAGCCGGCCUGAGAGGGUGACCGGUCACAUUGGGACUGAGAUACGGCCCAGACUCCUACGGGAGGCAGCAGUGGGGAAUAUUGCACAAUGGGCGCAAGCCUGAUGCAGCGACGCCGCGUGAGGGAUGGAGGCCUUCGGGUUGUGAACCUCUUUCGCUCAUGGUCAAGCCGCAACAAUGGUUGUGGUGAGGGUAGUGGGUAAAGAAGCGCCGGCUAACUACGUG